CUGUCAGGUAGAUGAUUAUAACAGUAGUGCUGGUCUCCAGGCUGUCAGGUAGAUGAUUAUAACAGUAGUGUUGGUCUCCAGGCUGUCAGGUAGAUGAUUAUAACAGUAGUGUUGGUUUCCAGACUGUCAGGUAGAUGAUUAUAACAGUAGUGUUGGUCCUGGUCUCCAGACUGUCAGGUAGAUGAUUAUAACAGUAGUGUUGGUCCUGGUCUCCAGACUGUCAGGUAGAUAGUUAUAACAGUAGUGUUGGUCUCCAGACUGUCAGGAUGAUGAUUAUAACAGUAGUGCUGGUCUCCAGGCUGUCAGGUAGAUGAUUAUAACAGUAGUGUUGGUCUCCAGGCUGUCAGGUAGAUGAUUAUAACAGUAGUGUUGGUCUCCAGACUGUCAGGUAGAUGAUUAUAACAGUAGUGUUGGUCUCCAGACUGUCAGGUAGAUGAUUAUAACAGUAGUGUU
Molecule: long non-coding RNA, 453 nt
Filed under: Salmo salar (Atlantic salmon)
Lineage: Eukaryota; Metazoa; Chordata; Actinopteri; Salmoniformes; Salmonidae
Description: lncRNA (ENSSSAG00000083726.1)
Source: RNAcentral